This 490-nucleotide ribosomal RNA is filed under the name uncultured bacterium. RNAcentral describes it as "partial 16S ribosomal RNA". It matches the Rfam family "Bacterial small subunit ribosomal RNA", at positions 28 to 507 of the family's 1533-position model. The record is from RNAcentral.
GAUGAACGCUAGCGAUAGGCUUAACACAUGCGAGUCGAGGGGCAGCAUGGUCUUAGCUUGCUAAGACUGAUGGCGACCGGCGCACGGGUGCGUAACGCGUAUGCAACUUGCCUCACAGAGGGGGAUAACCCGUCGAAAGACGGGCUAAUACCGCGUACACUCCAUCUUGGGCAUCCAAGGUAGAGGAAAUGAAAUUCGCUGUGAGAUAGGCAUGCGUCCCAUUAGCUAGUUGGUGAGGUAACGGCUCACCAAGGCGACGAUGGGUAGGGGAACUGAGAGGUUGAACCCCCACACUGGUACUGAGACACGGACCAGACUCCUACGGGAGGCAGCAGUGAGGAAUAUUGGUCAAUGGGCGAGAGCCUGAACCAGCCAAGUCGCGUGAAGGAUGACUGUCUUAUGGAUUGUAAACUUCUUUUAUACGGGAAUAACAAGAGUCACGUGUGACUCCCUGCAUGUACCGUAUGAAUAAGCAUCGACUAACUCCGUG